AUUGAACGCUGGCGGCAUGCUUUACACAUGCAAGUCGAACGGUAACAGGCCGCAAGGUGCUGACGAGUGGCGAACGGGUGGGUAAUGCAUCGGAACGUGCCCAGUCGUGGGGGAUAACGCAGCGAAAGCUGUGCUAAUACCGCAUACGAUCUAUGGAUGAAAGCGGGGGACCGUAAGGCCUCCCGCGAUUGGAGCAGCCGAUGUCAGAUUAGGUAGUUGGUGGGGUAAAGGCUCACCAAGCCAACGAUCUGUAGCUGGUCUGAGAGGACGACCAGCCACACUGGGACUGAGACACGGCCCAGACUCCUACGGGAGGCAGCAGUGGGGAAUUUUGGACAAUGGGCGCAAGCCUGAUCCAGCAAUGCCGCGUGCAGGAAGAAGGCCUUCGGGUUGUAAACUGCUUUUGUACGGAACGAAAAGGUUUGGGUUAAUACCCUGGGCCGAUGACGGUACCGUAAGAAUAAGCACCGGCUAACUACGUGCCAGCAGCCGCAGUAA
RNAcentral lists this ribosomal RNA (498 nucleotides) under uncultured bacterium. RNAcentral describes it as "partial 16S ribosomal RNA". It matches the Rfam family "Bacterial small subunit ribosomal RNA", at positions 30 to 523 of the family's 1533-position model. The record is from RNAcentral.